Molecule: ribosomal RNA, 450 nt
Filed under: uncultured bacterium
Lineage: Bacteria
Description: partial 16S ribosomal RNA
Rfam family: Bacterial small subunit ribosomal RNA
Source: RNAcentral
CCUACGGGGGGCAGCAGUAAGGAAUAUUGGUCAAUGGACGCAAGUCUGAACCAGCCAUGCCGCGUGGAGGAUGAAGGUCCUCUGGAUUGUAAACUUCUUUUAUUUGGGAAGAAACUCCCGAUUUCCAUCGGGAUUGACGGUACCAGAUGAAUAAGCACCGGCUAACUCCGUGCCAGCAGCCGCGGUAUUACGGAGGGUGCCAGCGUUAUCCGGAUUAAAGGGGUCGAAGGUGUGCAUGGGUGGCCGGGGUGAAAUCUCCGGGCUUAACCCGGAAACUGCCAUUGAUACUAUUUGUCUUGAAUACUCUGGAGGUGAGCGGAAUAUGUCAUGUAGCGGUGAAAUGCUUAGAUAUGACAUAGAACACCCAUUGCGAAGGCAGCUCACUACGGAAAUAUUGACGCUGAGGCACGAAAGCGUGGGGAUCAAACAGGAUUAGAUACCCUUGUAGUC